GAGUUUUAGUGAGUUUAGUUUUUAGUUUAGUUUAGUUUUUGUCGCCUCUAGUUGUGUGGGCUUAAUCGAAAUUUUGUCCAGAACUAGAAUGGAUUGGAUUGAUUUGGAAUCGAAACCAUCUCACACAUAACAUAGUACGUCAAUAAUUUCUUAUUAUUCGGAUUGCAAGGACAAAGACUAAAUGGGCGCAUGGUUUCAUAAAUUGAGUGCGGAAGUAACUAACCUUUCAAUCAACGAAACUUACUGAAAAAAGUUCCAGUGAAAAUUGUCAAAUAUUUUCAAGGUUCAAAAUACAACUGAAACAAAGGAAAGUGUAACUAGUAUAUAAAAAGUAACGGUGGCACACGUCAAAGGAUUAAAUCGUUGCAAUUGCAUGAAAAUGCAAGGACAAAUGAAUGUCGAGCACGGCACGUGUUAAAAAUUACGACACUGAGAAAGGUCAAUUAUAUAAUAUUGUCAAAUUUUGAGAAAGAUUAAAGUUCAAGAACGCACGUAAAUACAAAUUUGUUUAUAAUGUGCUGAUGUUCAUGCUUUAAACUCGCAGGUGUAUGGUUUUAUGUCGGCGGUAAUGGGUGUGACGUUUUCUUAUUUGCAUUUAAGUUAGUGUAAAUAUUUGUAUAUUAGUGUCCAUCCCACAGAGCAAACACAAUCAGCUAGCGGCAGGUCAACAAAUGCACAUCGUGAGGUAAACAGAAAGAAAGUGAGGAACGAAAAAGAAGAAAGAAAAGAAAAUAAGUCGGGUUACAAGCAGAAAUUGAAAUAGUGUUGCCACAACAGAAAUGUUAAUAAAUAUAAAACAUUAGAAUAUAAACAUUUGGAAACGAGCUAACUUUGAAAAGAUGACUUCUUCAAACAUAAUUUAUCCGAUAUAUUUAUCUAUAAUAAAAGACGAAAAUCUUGUACGUGUUAAACAUAUUAUUGGAAUGGUAAAAAUUUUAGAUUUAAAGAUAUGAUAUUUCCACUCUUUUACAGUCGACUAGACUGAAAAAAAAUAUAUUUCUGUAAUAAUCUAGCCACAUAAAA
This is a non-coding RNA of Bactrocera oleae (olive fruit fly), 1023 nucleotides long. NCBI's taxonomy places the organism in Eukaryota, Metazoa, Arthropoda, Insecta, Diptera, Tephritidae. The record is from RefSeq and is a predicted model, not a curated record.